Non-coding RNA from Gossypium arboreum, 106 nucleotides. The record is from Rfam. NCBI's taxonomy places the organism in Eukaryota, Viridiplantae, Streptophyta, Magnoliopsida, Malvales, Malvaceae.
AACCCAUGGUGAGGACACCUUCUCAAGAGAUCCUUGUAUCUCUCCCAUGCAUCAAAGAGUGUUUCGAGAUCCUUCUCAUAAAAGAAGAGAUAUCAUUUCUCAACUU